This 668-nucleotide long non-coding RNA is filed under the name Marmota monax (woodchuck). The record is from RNAcentral. Lineage: Eukaryota; Metazoa; Chordata; Mammalia; Rodentia; Sciuridae.
CACUGAGGACCUUGGUCCUGACACUCUGGGCUGUCACCUGGGAGGUGAGGCACACUUUCUGACCUCCCCUCACUGAGGACCUUGGUCCUGACACACUGGGUGAAACCUGGGAGGUGAGGGCACACUCUCUGACCUCCCCUCACUGAAGACCUUGUUCCUGACACACUGGGCUUUCACCUGGGAGGUGAGGGCACACUCUCUCACCUGCCCUCACUGAGGACCCUGGUCCAGACACAACGGGCUGUUACCUGGGAGGUUAGGACACCUCUCUGACCUCCUCACACUGAGGACCUUGGUUCUGACACACUGGGUGUCACCUGGGAGGUGAGUGCACACUCUCUGACCUCCCCUCACUGAGGACCCUGGUCCUGACACACUGGGCUGUCACCUGGGUGGUGAUGGCACAUUCUGUGACCUCCGCUCACUGAGGACCUAGGCCCUGACACACUGGGCUGUCACCUGGAGGUGAGGGCACACUCUCUGACCUCCCCUCACUGAGGAAGUUUGUCCUGACACACUGGGCUGACACCUGCGAGGUGAGGGCACACUCUCUGACAUCCCCUCCCUGCGUACCUUGGUCCUGACACACUGGGCUGACACCUGCGAGGUGAGGGCACACACUCUGACAUCCCCUCUCUGCGUACCUUGGUCCUGACACACUGGCUGAC